This 308-nucleotide ribosomal RNA is filed under the name uncultured bacterium. RNAcentral describes it as "bacterial SSU rRNA". It matches the Rfam family "Bacterial small subunit ribosomal RNA", at positions 28 to 334 of the family's 1533-position model. The record is from RNAcentral.
GAUGAACGCUGGCGGCGUGCCUAACACAUGCAAGUCGAACGGGAUAAGAGAUGCUUGCAUUUCUUAUCAAGUGGCGGACGGGUGAGUAACGCGUGGAUAAUCUGCCCUACACAGGGGGAUAACAGCCGGAAACGGCUGCUAAUACCGCAUAGACUGAGCUUUCGCAUGAGAGAACAGGGAAAGAUUUAUCGGUGUAGGAUGAAUCCGCGUCCGAUUAGCUAGUUGGAGGGGUAACGGCCCACCAAGGCGACGAUCGGUAGCCGGCCUGAGAGGGCGACCGGCCACAUUGGGACUGAGACACGGCCCAG